GGGGAAUAUUGGACAAUGGGGGGAACCCUGAUCCAGCCAUGCCGCGUGUGCGAAGAAGGCCUUAUGGUUGUAAAGCACUUUAAGCGAGGAGGAGGCUCCCGUAGCUAAUAUCUACGGAGAGUGGACGUUACUCGCAGAAUAAGCACCGGCUAACUCUGUGCCAGCAGCCGCGGUAAUACAGAGGGUGCGAGCGUUAAUCGGGUUUACUGGGCGUAAAGCGUUCGUAGGCGGCUUUUUAAGUCGGAUGUGAAAUCCCUGAGCCUAACUUAGGAAUUGCAUUCGAUACUGGGAAGCUAGAGUAUGGGAGAGGAUGGUAGAAUUCCAGGUGUAGCGGUGAAAUGCGUAGAGAUCUGGAGGAAUACCGAUGGCGAAGGCAGCCAUCUGGCCUAAUACUGACGCUGAGGUACGAAAGCAUGGGGAGCAAAC
RNAcentral lists this ribosomal RNA (426 nucleotides) under uncultured bacterium. RNAcentral describes it as "bacterial SSU rRNA". It matches the Rfam family "Bacterial small subunit ribosomal RNA", at positions 356 to 773 of the family's 1533-position model. The record is from RNAcentral.